This 3537-nucleotide long non-coding RNA is filed under the name Elaeis guineensis (African oil palm). RNAcentral's name for it is "long non-coding RNA (EGUI_LNC013335)". The record is from RNAcentral. Lineage: Eukaryota; Viridiplantae; Streptophyta; Magnoliopsida; Arecales; Arecaceae.
CAAACAAACAAGACCUUCCUAAUGCAAUGAAUGCUGCUGAGAUUACUGAUAAGCUUGGCCUUCAUUCUCUGCGUCAACGACACUGGUACAGCACUAUUUAUCAUAAUGUUCUGUGGAUGUCAAUUUCUUUUUCUUAUUAUGCAAAUUAAAUUGGUUUUGUUUGUGUUUAUAAAGUUCCUGUUAGGAGGAUCGUAUGUAGUCUUAGAUGACAAGGCAUUAUGAUGACUUUGAUAUAUAGGAAAAUUGAUUAUAUGGGCAUGAGCUUGUUUGGGAAGCUCUGUUAAAUUGUAGACAGCUAAGAUAUAAAAGAUCGUGUAUAUUCUUAUACUACAGGAACUUGACGUAUCUGUUGCAUUUAAAAAGAAAUAAGUGCCUGCGUUGGUUUUCUUGGUUAAAGAAUUUGCUUUUGAUUCUUGAUGAGCAUAACCAUGAGUUAGCAUCUGAAGUUACAUAAGAAACAAUAUGAUUCUAUAUAUAUUGUUAAUCUCAGAUGUUUUUUUUUGGGGACAGAAGCUUUAGUUCUGUAUAUGAUGAUGCUUUGUUGUAACUAAUUUGUUUAAUUAGCUGUUUUUGUCAAUUGAUGGAAAUAGGUGUGUUCAUAAUUUCAAAGACAAAUUCAUCAGAUUUAAGAAUAAUAGAAUAUGGAUGCUAAACUUUUAAAUUAGCUUUUUAAUUAGAAGAUAUGCACCUAUGAUUGUGGCUCUGGUUUGGUAGAAAAUAUGCCUUGUUUGAACUGAUUAAGGUGUUCCAUAUGAUAAGUUGAUAUUUGCUUUGCAAGGUUCCAAACAGGGGAAGAACUUAGAUACAUGCUCUUGUUUUCCUUAUUUUUAUCCAUAUCCCCAACAAUGUUGGUAUUUCCAUAUGGUUUUAUUGUGGAUUUAAUUUUUUUUCUAAUUCUUGCUUUCUCAUGGAUGUCAUAUAUGUUUUUUGUCUCAUAAGUAAAUCAAAAUCCCAGGUUGUCGAUGUCAAUCAUAUGAAUCUGAUUUCAUUCUAGGCAUUGAAUUCCCAAUAGAUCCUACAAGAAUGAUCCUUCUGAUUUCUUACUUUGACCUUGGUGUAUCUUACUUUUCUCCGUCUAAUAUAGAAAUCAGUUUCUGCUUGUAUUUGGUCAUUUUGCUUUCUCCAAAUUCCAGAGACAUGGGUGAUAAGCAUACUUUGUGAUGAUCACCAGUGGAUUUCUAUGGUUGAUUUGAUAGUAAGCUUUAGAAGAAGGAUCUGUAAUAGUUCAAUAACCCUAACUUGUCAUCUCGUAUUCCACAUACCACUUUGAUUACAAAAUAUCGGUGAAUUAAACAAAGCAUUCAUGAGUUCAGUAGCAAAUAUAACAUAUACCUCAGCUCAAGGUUUGGAAAACCACCCCGACCAUGGUUCAGGCUGAACCGAGGUAGUCUUGGUUUGCCUGGAAGCAGAACUGUGUAAGUUAGAGGCGAACCACGUCUAAGUUGUUGUCAAUAUGAACCCAAACUGGCUGGUUCAGAACCAGGACUACUUAUUUAAUGAACAGGAGUUCAGGACCCUUUCUCAUCCCCUUCUAGCACCGUUUGAGGAGUGCCAGCCUUCUUGUCCUCUCUCUCGUUGCAGAUAUCAAUUGAGGAGAGCAGGUUGUUGAGGAGCCGGGCCCAGUCGUUUUUAAUUUGGCAUCAAUUUUUUUUUGGAAGAUGAUUUUCCCCCUUUUUCUAUUGUGUUCUGUCUCAAAAAAUUGUUUACUGGUUUUUUGUAUUUUCUGUUAAGUAUGUGAUGUUAGAACUCAAAUUUUGGGAAAAAGACAUUUUAAGUGGUUAAAAAUAUUCUGUUUUAUGCCUCAUUUACAUUGAUUUAUUGCAAAUGGGUUCUCUUUUUAUUGGGUUUCUAUUGUGAUCUUUAUUAGAUGUAGUUCAAUAUGCGUUCUCAAUAAUGUUUAAACUCUUAGAUGCUUGCUUGCAUGCCUGGGUUCUUUGGUUUGAGGAAGAUUGAAUCACUCGAGAGUCUUGGAGUCGGCAACGUGUUGUAGAGGUAUUGUACAUUCAGAAUGGGAUUUUUGGAAACAAUCAUGUAUCCACACAUUUAAUAUUUCUCAGCUAUUCUUUUUUUUCGCUCAUAAGGUAGAUAUCAGUAUAAAAGAAGCCUUGUUCAUAAAGUGAAAAUACAAUAAGCUGAAUCGUUUCUUAUCAUUUUAAAUGAUUGAUUGAUAGUAUUGCAUUGUUUUCUCUGAGUUUAGAUCUUUUUUUCUUUUUACGACUAGAAUGGAUUUGUGGGGGAUUUUCUGUUUUGCAGUUUUGUUUCUUUCUGCUUUAUAUUGAUCAUCUGGAAAUGGAUUUUGUGUGUUGUACUGUGUUGCUUGGUAUGCUAAAAUGCAGAGUCCGAUACUUGCCAGCAUUAUAGUGCCAACAGUUUGACCAAGGGGACUUCAUAGUGAAUGAUUCUUUGAUCACAGAUGGAGGCAGCGUUCUGGACUUUGUAACUUCAUCGAAAUAUUGUAGGGCACCCUAAGAUUAGAAUGUACUGAAAUUUAUACGAGGGGAUUGCACAUGCCCAGUGCAAGUUGGCUCUCAGAGUAGGGGACUGUACAUUUUGACAUACUUUGGAGCAUGUGUAGUUAAUGCUGACAAGUUUGAGCUUGUGACAUCUCCUGUUUAUUACUUUAUUACCUGAGCCUUGCUUGUAUAUUUUGAUGUUGCUCUUCUACCUUCUUCAUAAAGGAAGCAAUCAGCCACUUAUCCAGGUGAUGUAUUAUUUGGUUGCAGGUACAUACAGAGCACUUGUGCUACCUCGGGUGAGGGGUUGUAUGAGGGGCUUGAUUGGCUCUCGAACAACAUCGCCAACAAGGUGCACAUCCAUUCCCUUUUUUUUUUUUUGUUUAUUUAGCCAUAUGUUUAUUAGAAUUGUAUUAUUUAGCUCUUUAACUUAAAUAAUAGCUUGCUGAUAUAGCCAUAUACAUAUAUAUAUAUAUAUAUAUAUAUAUAUAUAUAGUAGUNNNNNNNNNNNNNNNNNNNNAUAUACAUAUAUAUAUAUAUAUAUAUAUAUAUAUAUAUAGAGUGCAUUCAGCCUUUAUACCUUUGUUCUUUUAUUAGCACAAUUCUAUAAUUCAAAUGUUUGCAUAAAAUGAGAUUUUUGGGGCCCUGAUCUGGCAUAUUGGCAUUGUCUUUUUUUAACCAUCCACUCAUGUAUGUGGCACGCAUUGGAAUGCAUAAAUGAGUGUGGCAAAACUCAUGACGUGUUCAGGAUUGAUAUCUGGGUUCCCCUGGAAAGAUUGGAGUUGUGGAGAUUCCGAUUUCGAAUGUUCUAAGCUCUGGCACUUUCUGACUGGAUAUUUUGGUUUCUUUUCCAGGCCUAAAAUUUUCAGCAUGCUGGGUAAAGCGUUUCAAUAUGUUUCUGGAUUACAUAUACCUUUUGCAGUUGUGGUGGGUGGCUUGCUGUGGGAACACUUUGUGGCCAUCAGUUUGUUGGUCGUGGAUAAAUUACCAUCUUUUUCCAAAUUUUCUUUCACUCAUGUUGUAGCGUUCAGAACCUGUCACCGAGUGGGCUUUGGUGUAUUUGACUUAAUGCAGUCUACAGGGU